RNAcentral lists this ribosomal RNA (487 nucleotides) under uncultured bacterium. Its description in RNAcentral is "partial 16S ribosomal RNA". It matches the Rfam family "Bacterial small subunit ribosomal RNA", at positions 28 to 507 of the family's 1533-position model. The record is from RNAcentral.
GAUGAACGCUAGCGAUAGGCUUAACACAUGCAAGUCGAGGGGCAGCACAAGGUAGCUUGCUAUCUGGGUGGCGACCGGCGCACGGGUGCGUAACGCGUAUGCAACUUGCCCUAUACAGGAGGAUAACCCGUCGAAAGACGGACUAAUACUGCGUAUGCUCACAACUUGGCAUCAAGUGGUGAGGAAAGAAAUUCGGUAUAGGAUAGGCAUGCGUCCCAUUAGCUUGUUGGUGAGGUAACGGCUCACCAAGGCAACGAUGGGUAGGGGAACUGAGAGGUUUAUCCCCCACACUGGUACUGAGACACGGACCAGACUCCUACGGGAGGCAGCAGUGAGGAAUAUUGGUCAAGGGGCGCGAGCCUGAACCAGCCAAGUCGCGUGAAGGAGGACUGUCUUAUGGAUGGUAAACUUCUUUUAUACGGGAAUAACAAGAGUCACGGGUGACUCCCUGCAUGUACCGGAUGAAUAAGCAUCGGCUAACUCCGUG